AAGCCUACGGGAGGCAGCAGUGAGGAAUAUUGGUCAAUGGACGAAAGUCUGAUGGAGCAACGCCGCGUGAGUGAAGAAGGGUUUCGGCUCGUAAAGCUCUGUUGGUAGUGAAGAAAGAUAGAGGUAGUAACUGGCCUUUAUUUGACGGUAAUUACUUAGAAAGUCACGGCUAGCUACGUGCCAGCAGCCGCGGUAAUACGUAGGUGGCAAGCGUUGUCCGGAUUUAUUGGGCGUAAAGCGAGUGCAGGCGGUUCA
This 255-nucleotide ribosomal RNA is filed under the name uncultured bacterium. RNAcentral describes it as "partial 16S ribosomal RNA". It matches the Rfam family "Bacterial small subunit ribosomal RNA", at positions 335 to 582 of the family's 1533-position model. The record is from RNAcentral.